This 354-nucleotide long non-coding RNA is filed under the name Prunus persica (peach). RNAcentral's name for it is "long non-coding RNA (PPER_LNC001145)". Lineage: Eukaryota; Viridiplantae; Streptophyta; Magnoliopsida; Rosales; Rosaceae. The record is from RNAcentral.
UUAUUUUGUGACUCUGUUUACAGGUGAAAAUUUGUUGGUUUAAGCAUUUUUCAAGGCAGAUUCUGCCAGUUUUUCGGUAGCAGUCGAACAUUAAAAGAGUCUUUGGAUUUAGGUUAAGAGGGGUAUUUUGGACAUUUGAGUUCAACACCUACCAGGUGUCUGACACGCACAGGGUUUGACAUGGAUUUCAAAGUGAAAAUUUGGUAUCAAAACGUUAGGUUAAACUCAUGUAGACUAUGCACUUGGGUGCAUUAUCGUAUUGACGGAUUCUCGUUUCUUGUAUCAGUGUCAUGAGCCCUAAACGUGGUGGUAUUUGUAGCGGGACUCGUUAGUCGUCCUGAUUACGUGGUCAUG